AACGAACGCUGGCGGCAGGCCUAACACAUGCAAGUCGAGCGCGCCCUUCGGGGUGAGCGGCGGACGGGUGAGUAACGCGUGGGAACGUGCCCUUCUCUGCGGAAUAGCCUCGGGAAACUGAGAGUAAUACCGCAUACGCCCCUUGGGGGAAAGAUUUAUCGGAGAAGGAUCGGCCCGCGUUGGCUUAGGUAGUUGGUGGGGUAAUGGCCCACCAAGCCGACGAUCCAUAGCUGGUUUGAGAGGAUGAUCAGCCACACUGGGACUGAGACACGGCCCAGCCUCCUACGGGAGGCAGCAGUGGGGAAUCUUAGACAAUGGGGGCAACCCUGAUCUAGCCAUGCCGCGUGAGUGAUGAAGGCCUUAGGGUUGUAAAGCUCUUUCAGCUGGGAAGAUAAUGACGGUACCAGCAGAAGAAGCCCCGGCUAACUCCGUG
RNAcentral lists this ribosomal RNA (433 nucleotides) under uncultured bacterium. Its description in RNAcentral is "partial 16S ribosomal RNA". It matches the Rfam family "Bacterial small subunit ribosomal RNA", at positions 29 to 507 of the family's 1533-position model. The record is from RNAcentral.